This 253-nucleotide ribosomal RNA is filed under the name uncultured bacterium. RNAcentral's name for it is "partial 16S ribosomal RNA". It matches the Rfam family "Bacterial small subunit ribosomal RNA", at positions 524 to 776 of the family's 1533-position model. The record is from RNAcentral.
UACAGAGGUCCCAAGCGUUGUUCGGAUUCACUGGGCGUAAAGGGCGCGUAGGCGGCACGGCAAGUCAGGAGUGAAAGCCCUGGGCUCAACCCGGGAACUGCUUUUGAAACUGCCGAGCUAGAGUGCGGAAGGGGCAACUGGAAUUCCCAGUGUAGCGGUGAAAUGCGUAGAUAUUGGGAAGAACACCUGAGGCGAAGGCGGGUUGCUGGGCCGACACUGACGCUGAGGCGCGAAAGCCAGGGGAGCAAACAGG